GAUGAACGCUAGCGGCAGGCCUAAUACAUGCAAGUCGAACGGCAAGAUUUGGUAGCAAUACUGAAUCCUAGAGUGGCGCACGGGUGAGUAACGCGUACAUGACAUACCUAUAAGCGAGGGAUAGCAUUGGGAAACUGGUAGUAACCCCUCAUGUGAUUAUUUGUAAUAAAGGUAAAUAAUUAAAACUACGGUGCUUAUAGAUUGGUGUGCGUCUGAUUAGCUAGUUGGCGAGGUAACGGCUCACCAAGGCGACGAUCAGUAGGGGGCGUGAGAGCGUGAACCCCCACACGGGUACUGAGACACGGACCCGACUCCUACGGGAGGCAGCAGUAAGGAAUAUUGGUCAAUGGAGGGAACUCUGAACCAGCCAUGCCGCGUGCAGGAUGAAAGCCCUCUGGGUUGUAAACUGCUUUUAACAGGGAAGAAAUGCUAUACGCGAUAUAGUACUGACGGUACCAUAUGAAUAAGCACCGGCUAACUCCGUGCCAGCAGCCGCGGUAAU
RNAcentral lists this ribosomal RNA (502 nucleotides) under uncultured bacterium. RNAcentral's name for it is "bacterial SSU rRNA". It matches the Rfam family "Bacterial small subunit ribosomal RNA", at positions 28 to 524 of the family's 1533-position model. The record is from RNAcentral.